Molecule: ribosomal RNA, 328 nt
Filed under: uncultured eukaryote
Lineage: Eukaryota
Description: partial 18S ribosomal RNA
Rfam family: Eukaryotic small subunit ribosomal RNA
Source: RNAcentral
CCCUUAGAUGUCCGGGGCUGCACGCGCGCUACACUGAAGGAAUCAGCGUGCUAAAACCAUUGUCGAAAGGCAUUGGUAAACCCAUUAAAAUCCUACGUGAUUGGGAUCGGGAAUUGCAAUUAUUUCCCUUGAACGAGGAAUUCCCAGUAAGUGUGGGUCAUAAGCUCGCGUUGAUUGCGUCCCUGCCCUUUGUACACACCGCCCGUCGCUGCCCGGGACUGAGCCGUUUCGAGAAAAGCGGGGACUGCUGCUGUCGGGGCUUUCGGGCCUUGGCUUCGGUGGAAACCGCUUUAAUCGCANUNGCUUGANCCGGGCAAAANUCGUANCA